UACGUAAGGUGCAAGCGUUAAUCGGAAUUACUGGGCGUAAAGCGUGCGCAGGCGGCUUUGCAAGACAGAUGUGAAAUCCCCGGGCUUAACCUGGGAACUGCAUUUGUGACUGCAUGGCUGGAGUGCGGCAGAGGGGGAUGGAAUUCCGCGUGUAGCAGUGAAAUGCGUAGAUAUGCGGAGGAACACCGAUGGCGAAGGCAAUCCCCUGGGCCUGCACUGACGCUCAUGCACGAAAGCGUGGGGAGCAAACAGG
Molecule: ribosomal RNA, 253 nt
Filed under: uncultured bacterium
Lineage: Bacteria
Description: partial 16S ribosomal RNA
Rfam family: Bacterial small subunit ribosomal RNA
Source: RNAcentral